GAUGAACGCUGGCGGCGUGCCUAAUACAUGCAAGUCGAGCGAACAGACGAGGAGCUUGCUCCUCUGACGUUAGCGGCGGACGGGUGAGUAACACGUGGAUAACCUACCUAUAAGACUGGGAUAACUUCGGGAAACCGGAGCUAAUACCGGAUAAUAUAUUGAACCGCAUGGUUCAAUAGUGAAAGACGGUUUUGCUGUCACUUAUAGAUGGAUCCGCGCCGCAUUAGCUAGUUGGUAAGGUAACGGCUUACCAAGGCAACGAUGCGUAGCCGACCUGAGAGGGGGAUCGGCCACACGGGAACUGAGACACGGUCCAGACUCCUACGGGAGGCAGCAGUAGGGAAUCUUCCGCAAUGGGCGAAAGCCUGACGGAGCAACGCCGCGUGAGUGAUGAAGGUCUUCGGAUCGUAAAACUCUGUUAUUAGGGAAGAACAAAUGUGUAAGGAACUAUGCACGUCUUGACGGUACCUAAUCAGAAAGCCACGGCUAACUACGUG
Molecule: ribosomal RNA, 497 nt
Filed under: uncultured bacterium
Lineage: Bacteria
Description: partial 16S ribosomal RNA
Rfam family: Bacterial small subunit ribosomal RNA
Source: RNAcentral